Molecule: long non-coding RNA, 307 nt
Organism: Schistocerca cancellata (South American locust)
Lineage: Eukaryota; Metazoa; Arthropoda; Insecta; Orthoptera; Acrididae
Exons: 3
Source: RefSeq, a predicted model, not a curated record
CAGCUGUACCCAAGCCUUUGGAACCAUCUCCACCUUUCUGCUGCUCUCCUGCUCCAGGCCAACAGCAGACGCUGCACAUAUCCGAGAUCACUUGGAUUGGCGGUGUCUCUAACUCCUCACACGUCACACUUGAAGUGAAUGGCACGGCAGAAACCUACGAACUGGCCCUGAACAAGACGGAGUCGCAGCUGGAGGAGUGCGUGACCCCUGACGGAGAUCACGGGCAGUGCCGCCACCUGGCCAACUGCGUGCUGCCCAACUUCACUGGCAGCCUGGAUGACUUCCUGCCCUACCUCUGUGUCGUCGA